Molecule: long non-coding RNA, 1041 nt
Organism: Astatotilapia calliptera (eastern happy)
Lineage: Eukaryota; Metazoa; Chordata; Actinopteri; Cichliformes; Cichlidae
Source: Ensembl
UGAUACUUGAGCAUGCUCAUCUGAUAUUUAAAAUGAGCUGCAAUCAACUGCCAAGAGCAUUUUGUCAAUAUUGUACGGAAGCAACAGAUGUAUGCACCAUUACCUGCAAAUGCUGUAUCAGUCUGUUGAUUCUGGACUAUUUAGGAGUUUAAUCCACAUUUAUGUUCAUACGUUGGUUAUUUUUCAGAAUUUGGUGAAAAUAAAAGGAACACAAUAGCCAGCUGCAGGGGAAGUUCUGGUGGUUUGGUGGUGAGGAGGGAAUCCAGGCACAGUGUAAUCAUUGCUCACAUGUCAAUCCAGACUGAUCAGUUCUGUCACUGCUUUUGGAUGGAAACAGUUUUUUCUUCCCUGUGCGGAAAGCAGAAGCGGUCAGCCACAGCUGCCCUUUUCCUGUCUUUGUUGUUAAAUGACAGAAAUAUUUAGAAUCUGUUUUCCAUUUUAGUUAUGUUUAUUUGAAAAUGGGUCAUCCGAAAUGAAAUUUCUUCUGCUGAAUGAAAACUCGAUCACAGCUUUUUUUUUGUUUUGUUUUUUUAGGCUCAAACUGAUUUCAAAACAUUUUAAAAUGUAGGAGUUGUGGUAUUUUAAAAUUAUGCAUGUCAGAGAAAACAGACAUAAAUGUUCAGUGACUAAAACAUGUAUUCCCAGCCGUAACUUCAGAAGAUUUUUUUAUUUGAGUUUGCUGAGGAGAAACCACAUUUCUUUUUUCAUUUGUUUAACCAAUGUAUCCACAUGGUACUCAUGUACAUUUCCAUAGAAGUUAUAAAACCAAGAUGCUUUUGCAAACUCGAGUUCAGAGAUUGACACUUAAACUACACUAAAAUAUGUCUGUACACAGCUAUAGAUAUUUAUCUUGUCUAAUGUGUCUUCUUUUGUACCCAUAUGUGAUCACUAAUAGUAAAUAAAAGUACAGGAAAAAUGAGCUGCAGUGAGUGCAAAUGAGUCUUUAUAUUAGCAUAUAAGUGUCAAUGGACACUUGCAGAUAAGUGUUUCAGUAGAAAUCACUGUAACCCAUUACAUUCCUGGGAACAGUUUAACUGUCAU